GAGCGGAAGCGUGGGACGACAGAUAGAUACCUGGUAGUCACGCGUAACGAUGUAUAUAGUCGCGGAGGUCUGACACCGUCGCGGUCGUAGCAAAAGUGUUAAGUAUACGCCUGGGGAGUACGGUCGCAAGGCUAAACUCAAAGGAAUUGACGGGGGCUCACACAAGCGGUGGAGCAUGUGGAUUAAUUCGAAGCAACGCGCAGAACCUUACCUGGGUUGACAUGUAUGGAUGCCUAUCUGGAAACAGAGUCGGCUGCCCUCGGGUGAAACUUACACAGGUGCUGCAUGGCUGUCGUCAGCUCGUGUCGUGAGAUGUCGGGUUAAGUCCUUUAACGAGCGAAACCCUUACCGUUAGUUGCCAGCGCGUCAUGGCGGGGACUCUAGCGGGACUGCCGGUGUUAAACCGGAGGAAGGCGGGGAUGACGUCAAGUCCUCAUGGCCUUUAUGCCCAGGGCUUCACACGUGCUACAAUGGCAGGUACAAAGCGACGCGAUACCGCGAGGUGGAGCAAAUCGCAAAAAACCUGCCCCAGUUCAGAUUGCAGGCUGACAACUCGCCUGCAUGAAGUUGGAAUCGCUAGUAAUCGCGUAUCAGCGAUGACGCGGUGAAUGUGUUCCUGAGCCUUGUACGCACCGCCCGUCAAAUCACGGGAGUUGGGAGUACCCGAAGUCGGAUUGCUAACUCGUAAGAGAGGCGUCUGCCGACGGUAAGUCCGAUGACUGGGAUUAAGUCGUAACAAGGUAACC
This 746-nucleotide ribosomal RNA is filed under the name uncultured bacterium. Its description in RNAcentral is "bacterial SSU rRNA". It matches the Rfam family "Bacterial small subunit ribosomal RNA", at positions 751 to 1501 of the family's 1533-position model. The record is from RNAcentral.